Long non-coding RNA from Mustela erminea (ermine), 1782 nucleotides. RefSeq lists it as uncharacterized. Lineage: Eukaryota; Metazoa; Chordata; Mammalia; Carnivora; Mustelidae. The record is from RefSeq and is a predicted model, not a curated record. The transcript is spliced from 3 exons.
CCAGUUCCCACCCAAUCUGGAGACUAGAACACUGCGGCCUGCAGCUAGCCUCCCCUCCCUGAGUCCAGUACAAACCCCGCCCAGACCCGCUGGGGCUGACACCAGGGUGCCAGUCUUGUCUUUUCCAGAGGAUGGCCUGAGAAAGUGGGAGUCGGCUCUGUGCAUGCUGGGAGGAGCUCCCUUUAGCCUUCUUUUCUUCGGGUCGCUGUCCCGCGGACCUUCAGCAUCAAGAUUUGCCACGGCCGCCCGACUUGCGCAGUGCCCGCGCCGUGCCCUCCCUGGGGCCAUGGUGACAAAGCCAAGAUGGGACAUAGAGAAGAAAGCGUCUGGGGGAGGAAACUCGGUUGAGAGCCUCUGGAAGACGGGGGUCCCGACUUACACAUCUCUCCAUCUCCAUGGUGGCUGUCACAAGCUCCCACCCAGGUCUGGCUCAGAAGGAACUUCUGUUGGAUUAAACUGAUGACCAAAGCUGGUGGCAUGUUCAAGUCAUUCCCCCAAGCCUUGAGAGGUGCCUAGCUAGAUCUAUCAGCUGUGAACCCAGCAUCAUACCAACACUUUACAUGAAUUUCCACUGUAAGCAAUGUCACCUGAUGGCGAACGUCUUGAGGAACUGAUCCGAGUCUUACCUACCUUGGAAUCUUGAUUCUUAGCCCAGUGCCUGGUACAAAGAAGGAGCUCAAGAAAUGUUUCUUGGAUUAUAUAGAACUGAAACACAUUUUUCUAUUAAAGGGCCUCUGUCCCUAAACUUAGAUUACAUACCGUUACAAGUAAAAGAGAUUUUAAAAAAAUCAUUUUCUCCUUUGGAGACUGUGCCAUUAGCUCCUUUUUCAAGGUCAGUAAUUCUGAUCUGAUCCCUGUUGUUCACACAAGAAGUGACAACUUGCCUGACACUUCAGAGUCCCUUUCUCUUACCUAGAUUGAUUUUUUAAUUUUAAUUUUUUAAAGCACAGACCCAUCUUUCAUCUAUGCAGGACAAUGUAUCUGGGUUGACAAGAUGUUUUCUCAGUUUCCUCAUCUAAGCAAGCUUUAAUCAGUUUGUUCCUGCCUUGUUCUAGUCCUAAAACAUUUUUUUUUUUUUUUGACCCAGAGUUUAUGGUAGAAAUUUACAUUAGGAAACUUAUCUGCAUCUUUCUGGGAUUUUCAUCUUUAGAUCAUUAGGAUAAGCACCCCCCCACCCCAUUCCUUGGAUGAUAACUUUAUUUCAGAACAUGAUCUUGGGCUGCACGUUCAUUCAUGUGACUACCAACGGAUCCAGAUGAACUUUACUGGAAUGUAAAUACUGUAGCUGGAAGGCAAGAUCAAAACCAUUCCCCGUACAGAAAUGUUAAUCUCUCUAUUGCCAAGGGGGAAACGCAGCAGUCUGACACGUAAGGCGAUGUCAUGCAUUUUUACAUUAAGUGGAAUCUUGUGUCUGUAUCGAAUGGUUGAGUUUGUUUACAAAUGAUAGGUAAAGUCCCAAGGUCCACAGAACCACCUGAUGUUCCUGGCUGAAUGUCAGUCCCACCAGAGAUGUUUGGAGAAAUCACUGUUCUGGCCACAGUAUCAACAAGCACCAUCUGAUAGUAUUUCAUCCGCCUGAACUGGGUCACCAGAGACUAAAUGAAAAGACUACAUUUCCAUUUCCGUGUGUGUGUGUGUGUGUGUGUGUCUGUGUGUGUGUGUGUGUGUGUGAGAUGUGGUGAUGGCCUGGUGGGUCUUGUAGGUUCAUGCAAAACAACGAGAGAAAAGGUUAAGCUUAAUGAACAAAGUGUAACCGAUUAUUAUUAUUAUUUUUUUAAUGAA